GGGGUUGUGGCUCAGGUGGUAGAGUGCUUGCCUUGCAAGCGUGAGGCCCUGGGUUCAAUUCUCAGCACCGCA
RNAcentral lists this transfer RNA (72 nucleotides) under Leptotrombidium deliense. RNAcentral's name for it is "tRNA-Ala for anticodon UGC". It matches the Rfam family "tRNA". Rfam says of the family: Transfer RNA (tRNA) molecules are approximately 80 nucleotides in length. Their secondary structure includes four short double-helical elements and three loops (D, anti-codon, and T loops). The record is from RNAcentral. Lineage: Eukaryota; Metazoa; Arthropoda; Arachnida; Trombidiformes; Trombiculidae.